Molecule: ribosomal RNA, 301 nt
Filed under: uncultured bacterium
Lineage: Bacteria
Description: partial 16S ribosomal RNA
Rfam family: Bacterial small subunit ribosomal RNA
Source: RNAcentral
CAGUAGCCACGGGAAUACGAAGGGUGCAAGCGUUAAUCGGAAUUACUGGGCGUAAAGCGUGCGUAGGCGGUUUGUUAAGUCUGCUGUGAAAUCCCCGGGCUCAACCUGGGAAUGGCAGUGGAUACUGGCAAGCUAGAGUGUGUCAGAGGAUGGUGGAAUUCCCGGUGUAGCGGUGAAAUGCGUAGAGAUCUGGAGGAAUACCGAUGGCGAAGGCAGCCAUCUGGCCUAAUACUGACGCUGAGGUACGAAAGCAUGGGGAGCAAACAGGAUUAGAUACCCCAGUAGUCCCUGUCUCUUAUAC